UACGGGGGGGGCAAGCGUUGUUCGGAAUUACUGGGCGUAAAGGGCUCGUAGGCGGCCAACUAAGUCAGACGUGAAAUCCCUCGGCUUAACCGGGGAACUGCGUCUGAUACUGGAUGGCUUGAGUUCGGGAGAGGGAUGCGGAAUUCCAGGUGUAGCGGUGAAAUGCGUAGAUAUCUGGAGGAACACCGGUGGCGAAGGCGGCAUUCUGGACCGAAACUGACGCUGAGGCGCGAAAGCCAGGGGAGCAAACGGG
RNAcentral lists this ribosomal RNA (253 nucleotides) under uncultured bacterium. RNAcentral describes it as "partial 16S ribosomal RNA". It matches the Rfam family "Bacterial small subunit ribosomal RNA", at positions 524 to 776 of the family's 1533-position model. The record is from RNAcentral.